AGUGAACGCUGGCGGUAGGCCUAACACAUGCAAGUCGAACGGCAGCACAGUAAGAUCUUGCUCUUACGGGUGGCGAGUGGCGGACGGGUGAGGAAUACAUCGGACUCUAGUUUUUCGGGGGGGAUAACGUAGGGAAACUUACGCUAAUACCGCAUACGACCUACGGGGGAAAGCAGGGGGUCUUCGGACCUUGCGCGAGUGAAUGAGCCGAUGUCGGAGUGGGUAGUUGGCGGGGUAACGGCCCACCAAGGCGACGAUCCGUAGCUCGUCGGAGAGGAUGGUCACCCACCCUGGAACGUGACCACGGACCCGACUCCUGAGGGACGGCGCAGUGGGGAACAGUGGGCAAUGGGGGGAAGCCUUAUCCAGCCAGACCGCGUGGGUGGAGAAAGCCUUGCGGUUGGAAAGCCCUUUUUUUGGGAAAAAAAAGCAGCAGGUUAAUACCCAGCUGUUCUGACGGUACCCAAAGAAUAAGCACCGGCUAACUUCGUG
RNAcentral lists this ribosomal RNA (492 nucleotides) under uncultured bacterium. Its description in RNAcentral is "partial 16S ribosomal RNA". It matches the Rfam family "Bacterial small subunit ribosomal RNA", at positions 29 to 507 of the family's 1533-position model. The record is from RNAcentral.